CCCUUAGAUGUCCUGGGCCGCACGCGUGCUACACUGACGCCUACAGCGAGUACUUCCCAGCCCCGAGAGGCGGCUGGUAAUCAGCAAUAGGCGUCGUGAUGGGGAUAGAUCUUUGGAAUUCUGGAUCUUGAACGAGGAAUGCCUAGUAAGCGCAGGUCAUUAGCCUGCGCUGAUUACGUCCCUGCCCUUUGUACACACCGCCCGCCGCUCCUACCGAUUUCGAGUGGUCCGGUGAAUCUUUCGGACUGCGCGCAGCUUCGUGCCGUGUCGCGGAAAGUCAGGUAAACCUAAUCACUUAGAGGAAGGACAAGUCGUAACA
RNAcentral lists this ribosomal RNA (319 nucleotides) under uncultured eukaryote. Its description in RNAcentral is "partial 18S ribosomal RNA". It matches the Rfam family "Eukaryotic small subunit ribosomal RNA", at positions 1470 to 1796 of the family's 1831-position model. The record is from RNAcentral.